Molecule: long non-coding RNA, 3210 nt
Filed under: Sus scrofa (pig)
Lineage: Eukaryota; Metazoa; Chordata; Mammalia; Artiodactyla; Suidae
Description: lncRNA (ENSSSCG00000056424.1)
Source: RNAcentral
CAAAUGAAUUUAUCACAUCUGCAGUUGUAUAAUGAUCAUAACAAUCUGAUUUCACAGGAUUUCCAUCCCACAGCCCAAGCACAUCCCCCCACCCCCCAAAACUGUCUCCUCCGGAAACCCUAAGUUUUUCAAGGAAGCACCAAUCUUGAGAAACCCUUUCACUGCCAAGCAGCAGCAGAAAAGGCAGAUGAAAGCCCACAGAAGCCCUAAAGAGGCCCCGUCAAGGUGCCAAGGACCACUGCCACCCAGCUCUCCCUGCACCACCACAGAAUCUCAUGGGACAGAGGAGCCUGGACAAGACUAAGAUUCUCCUGGCAUCAGGGUCCAAAAGGCAGAGGGCAGUGCUGGCUGCCUGCAUUGAAAUGUAAACCCCAUGAAGGCAGGAUGUUUUGGAAGUUUUAUCUCUUUGUUCACUGCUAAAUCCUCAAUGCCUAGAACAGUGUAAGACACGAAAUGGGUGUUCAAUAAACAUUUGCUGAAAGAAUAAAGCAAUGGGCCACAAGGGCUCAAAGGCCACUUCACAGGCCUAGAGCCAGCCCCUCUCUAUCACAGGAGUUAAGAGAAGAAGGCAGCCAGUGCAGAUGCCACGAGAGACAGGGCAGACAAUUCGGUUUGAAAGGAUGGGGGAGAUUGGGACAUGCUGAUAGGCCUAGGGAGCUGCUUAUACCAGAUUGGAUAUUCACAUAGUCAUGGAACAAACAUGUACUGAAGGGCUAAAGAAGGAAGGUAGUCCAACAAAAGGAGCAGAUAUAAACUGCAGUGGAAUAAUACAACGGCAUCCAACCUGGCAAUAAAAAGGCUGAAUUACCAAUACAUACAUACAAUGACAUGAAGGAAUCUCUCAUAUGUUAUGUUGAGCAAAGGAAAUCAGACUCAAGAGAGUACACCUUGUAUGAUUCCAUUUAUGUGGAAGUCAACGACAGGCAAAGGAACCAAAAGUAAAAUAGAAGAGCCAGUAGCUACCUGAUGGGGGAAGGGGCACCAGGGAAGCUCCUAGAUUGGUGGAAAGGGUUCUCCAUCUUGAUCUGGGGGCUGAUUACACAGGAAUAUACUUAUAUAAAAAUAUAUCCAGCUGCCCAUUUCACAUUUGUAUACUGUAUGCACCCUACUAUACCUAUUUCAAACCUCCCUUUCUAAAAAAACAAACUAAAAAAAAAAGUUGGGUCUCAAGAUUAACAUAAUGAGUAUUUAAAAAAAACACAGAAAUACCUUCCCCAAAGAAGAAUCUUUUUCAGGAUUAACAGUGGCUCUUUCUUCCUGGAGUUUAGGACAUAAGCCCUCCAGCCUUCACUCUCUAUUUGCCAGAGGACAGAGGGACCCAAACAAAUGGCCAAGGCCUGGGAAAGCCCCAAACUGUUCCAAACACAAAGGAGAGCAGCCUGAGUCUUAGGCCAGGGAGGUGGUGACCUGCAGGAGGCUGCGUGCAGCCUCUCCUCCAGCCCACAUGAGCUCCAAGGAAGCAGAGCUUGGCAUACAUGGCCGAGCUGAGUGCCGCUGGUCCUGGCGCCCUCUGAAGCAGCCUGUCAAAUUCCCCCAUGGGGCACAGACUGGAUGUCCACAGACUGCCUGCAAGAGCCCAGACAGCGAACUAACUUGUCUUCCUGACAAGCUCAGCAGAGACUGGCUGAAUUAUCCCAACUCUGAGCAAUGGUCAAGGGCUGAGUGCCUACAGCCCCUCCUGCCAGCAAGGAGACGUGGCAAGAACCUCAUGGAGGGUCGAGGGGCGCUCCUUGCAUCAGAAUGGGGACCAGAAAUGAGGCGGCCUCACUCAUCUCAGGACCAGUGAAGCAGUGAGAGCCAUCAUAACAUAUGAGAGAUUCCUUCCAUGUCUGUUGUGUGGGCAAGAACUAAGUAUGUUCUGCCACAGGGCAUCUCAGAGCCCAGGCCACCUGCACUAGAGAAAAGGCAGGCAUCAGUCUGACACGGGAACAUGCUGGCAGCCAGCACCUCACUGUGAUGGUCCAUUAGGCUGAACCCCCUUCCAGGGUGGGAGAUCCUGAGCAGUACUGCUCCCCCUCCCUCCUCCUGGCACCACCUCACAGGAUCAUGACACUGAGCACCGUGGUCUGGGGUCUCCUAGGCAAAAAGGCAAACAUGGCCCCAUUUCCAAAGCACUUCUCACAGACCUAGCAAAAAGGCCAGUCUGCACUCCACCAGCCACACAGGUUGUUUAAGGCCUAGGAGCUGGGCAGGUACAGGCUAGCAGCACACAGCACACAGGCCUAAAAACUCCCUCUGCAAAUCCCACUGAACAUUCAGUGUCACUUGUGCUUGGGAAAGAAAGCCCACUUUAGCGCCUGCCCUCGAUCCUUCCCCAGCCCUCUUAGAAUGCCCAGUUCUCUGAGAGAUGGCGGGGGGGGGGAGAAGGGCUCACCUGCUGCUGCCAGCCAAUUAGAAGGUUGCUUUGCAGGCUGCUGUGUCCCAAGGAGUCCAGGGCAGAAUGCCUAUCAUCUGCAGGUGCCCGCUCCGUGUCAUCAAGGCUUCUCCUGGCCCUUGUGGUGGAGCAUUCAUAGACCCUUCCUUCCCUACUCAGAAAGAGUUGUAGCUCAGUUCCACUUUGCUAAGCCCUAUUUGGCAACGUGUCUAAACACAUGCAAACUUAAUUAGUUCAGGAGGGGAGCCCUUGCAGUGACAGAUAAAAGUAUCAGGAAAUGAGACAAGUCAGACUGCCAGGGAGUUGUCACUCCGGCCCCUUCCCCCAGCAGGCUGCUAAUCAAAGGUGAUACAACUCAGUGCUGGGACCAAAUGGCAAAGCCAUGGACAAGGUUCUCAUGAGCUUAGUGACACGAUGAGAUGUCCCAUGUGCUUCCAAACGAACUACAGGAUAGAGGUGACCAAAGUAAUAUUGGCAGUGGUUUCCUUCAAACCCAAGGAGUCAUUCAUCUGUAGCUCAGCAAGGAGGCUCUCAGCCCCAAAGCAUCCCCCACCACCCCUCCUGGGCAACCACACCCACACAUCAAAGGGAACCUAACAGUCCAGACCCCUGCCAACACCAGACCAGGUACCGGAAGCAGAACAUGUCAGAGAACACCUGAGGCUCUUCAUUUGUUGGGGGGCGGGAAUGGUUAUAAAUAUGAUUUAUUUCACAGGAUUGUAGUAAGGAUUAAACAAGAUCAUGUCUCAUGUAUAAAGUGCACAGCAAGGGAGUUCCCAUUGUGGUUCAAAGGGUUACAAACCCAACCAGUAUCCAUAAGAGGGUGCAUUUGAUCC